CCUGAUGCAGCAACGCCGCGUGAGGGAUGAAGGCCUUCGGGUUGUAAACCUCUUUUAGCAGGGAAGAAGCGAAAGUGACGGUACCUGCAGAAAAAGCACCGGCUAACUACGUGCCAGCAGCCGCGGUAAUACGUAGGGUGCAAGCGUUGUCCGGAAUUAUUGGGCGUAAAGAGCUCGUAGGCGGUUUGUCGCGUCUGCUGUGAAAAUCCGAGGCUCAACCUCGGACCUGCAGUGGGUACGGGCAAACUAGAGUGCGGUAGGGGAGAUGGGAAUUCCUGGUGUAGCGGUGGAAUGCGCAGAUAUCAGGAGGAACACCGAUGGCGAAGGCACAUCUCUGGGCCGUAACUGACGCUGAGGAGCGAAAGCGUGGGGAGCGAACAGGAUUAGAUACCCUGGUAGUCCACGCCGUAAACGGUGGGUGCUAGUUGUGGGUUCCAUUCCACGGAAUCCGUGACGAAGUUAACACAUUAAGCACCCCGCC
RNAcentral lists this ribosomal RNA (481 nucleotides) under Rhodoluna sp. RNAcentral's name for it is "bacterial SSU rRNA". It matches the Rfam family "Bacterial small subunit ribosomal RNA", at positions 382 to 873 of the family's 1533-position model. The record is from RNAcentral. Lineage: Bacteria; Bacillati; Actinomycetota; Actinomycetes; Micrococcales; Microbacteriaceae.